CUGGGGCACAGAGACAUGCACACAAGGGGAGGACCACAUGAGGAUGAAGGCAGAGCUGGAGUCACACUUCCACAAGCCAAGGAAAGCUGAAGUGGGCUGGAAAAACAAGAGCUUAACAAGAGACAUGGGAAACGAAUACAGGAACCAAGCUUCACACCGGAGAUAAAUUAAGUUUAAGAUGGAAGGGGAAAGAUUAAAGUGACAGAAAAUAGACCAGGAUGGCCUCCAUCUUUCCUCCCUCCCAUUCUCCGUGACUCCCUGAGGCUAACUCCCCCUACAAACUGGAAGGUGGGGGCUCAGCCCUGGCAGUGGUGAUUCAACUAAGGAUUGAAAACAAAACUGAUGCAAUCCUCAGCAAAGGGGAGAAAAACUACAGUUCAAGGCUACCCCAGGCCAAAAAAUAAAAAUGUUAACAAGACCCUGUCUCAAACAAGUGAGUCAUGGUGGUACACAUGAGUAACCCCAGCUAGCAGGAAACAGAGGCAGGAGGACCAUAGUCUGAAGUUGGUACACAAUCCUAUCUGAAGAAUAAAUUAAGUAAACAUAAAAGAUCAGGCAUAUGGCUCAUGUG
Molecule: long non-coding RNA, 571 nt
Organism: Dipodomys ordii (Ord's kangaroo rat)
Lineage: Eukaryota; Metazoa; Chordata; Mammalia; Rodentia; Heteromyidae
Exons: 3
Source: RefSeq, a predicted model, not a curated record